UACGUAGGGGGGCUAGCGUUGUCCGGAUUUAUUGGGCGUAAAGAGCGUGUAGGCGGCCAGGUAGGUCCGGUGUGAAAACUCGAGGCUUAACCUCGAGAUGUCAUCGGAAACCAUCUGGCUAGAGUCCGGAAGAGGAAAGUGGAAUUCCUGGUGUAGCGGUGAAAUGCGCAGAUAUCAGGAAGAACACCAAUGGCGAAAGCAGCUUUCUGGGACGGUACUGACGCUGAGAACGCAAAAGCGUGGGGAGCAAACAGG
This 255-nucleotide ribosomal RNA is filed under the name uncultured bacterium. RNAcentral describes it as "partial 16S ribosomal RNA". It matches the Rfam family "Bacterial small subunit ribosomal RNA", at positions 524 to 776 of the family's 1533-position model. The record is from RNAcentral.